This 460-nucleotide ribosomal RNA is filed under the name uncultured bacterium. RNAcentral describes it as "partial 16S ribosomal RNA". It matches the Rfam family "Bacterial small subunit ribosomal RNA", at positions 338 to 795 of the family's 1533-position model. The record is from RNAcentral.
CCUACGGGUGGCAGCAGUGAGGAAUAUUGGUCAAUGGACGAGAGUCUGAACCAGCCAAGUAGCGUGAAGGAUGACUGCCCUAUGGGUUGUAAACUUCUUUUAUAUGGGAAUAAAAUGUUCCACGUGUGGGUUUUUGUAUGUACCAUAUGAAUAAGGAUCGGCUAACUCCGUGCCAGCAGCCGCGGUAAUACGGAGGAUCCGAGCGUUAUCCGGAUUUAUUGGGUUUAAAGGGAGCGUAGGUGGAUUGUUAAGUAAGUUGUGAAAGUUUGCGGCUCAACCGUAAAAUUGCAGUUGAUACUGGCAGUCUUGAGUACAGUUGAGGUGGGCGGAAUUCGUGGUGUAGCGGUGAAAUGCUUAGAUAUCACGAAGAACUCCGAUUGCGAAGGCAGCUCACUGGACUGCAACUGACACUGAGGCUCGAAAGUGUGGGUAUCAAACAGGAUUAGAUACCCUUGUAGUC